Long non-coding RNA from Acipenser ruthenus (sterlet), 4150 nucleotides. RefSeq lists it as uncharacterized. Lineage: Eukaryota; Metazoa; Chordata; Actinopteri; Acipenseriformes; Acipenseridae. The record is from RefSeq and is a predicted model, not a curated record. The transcript is spliced from 3 exons.
UUGUUUCUACAGAUGCAACCCCCUCAGACCCUCCUUCAACACCACUCUCUGAAGAUAAGAUGGAAACAUUAAGGGUCCAAUUAAACGCACCCGCAGGAAUGAAUCUUGAAGACCCCAAAGUGAGCGAAGCCCUUUUAGAGCAGAUUCGGGAGCACUUCUCCAAGAACUUUCCAAUGGAUGGCGUUAAGCUGCGCUGGAGAAAACAAGACGGACAGAUUUUCCACAAGGAGGAGGAAGAGAAGAAGGAGGAGAAGUGCUCCGAGCCGUGAGACACCAACAUUGAUCUCUUAUUAACAACUCAAACUUCUUCAAAAACACAUUUAAAAGCUGGUAUACGGGAGCAUUAGUUUGAGAUGGUACGACAGAUUCAGAGUAGGAUUAGGGGUUAAUAAAGGCUUUUGAGUGUGCCUGUGAAUGUUAUAUUAGUGACUACAACUAUAAUUUAAAUUAGCUGAAUUGAGGGGUUUAGUUGUAGAUGGAUUUUACGAUACCUACUGGUGCAAUGUAGAUUUAUUUUGAGGUGUUGGUUUUAGUUUUAAAAUAGUUUUACAUUAUUUGUGUAACUCAGAUUUUUAAUUGGGUGAUGGGUAUAUUUUGGGUAUUUUAAUUUGAUUUAUAAUAUAGAGAUUAUCUAUAUACUGUAUCUCAGUUACUGCUACAACACUAACAUAAGGUGAUGGGUAUAUUUUGUUUUCACAAAGAAUUCUAAGUUAUAUUACAAUAGUUACUAGGGAUUAUAUGAAGGCUUUUGGGUUUGUGUUUUAUUUGUUAUGAUGUAAAAAAGCAAAACAAUACAAUAUAUACAGAGUGAUUACAAAGGAAGUGGGCCAUUUUACAAAGGCAUGACGGAAUACAUGUACACCUUGCAAGUUCCUGUACAAUCCCAUAGGGGGCGCCACAAAACAUUACUGCAAUUAUUUGUAAAGUAUUGAUGCAACAGAACUUUAAAAACAAGGAACCAGGGUAAUUUGCUCAUCAGAUAGACAGGGUCAAGUAACAUGGCGGAUAAUAUCCUUUGCACAUGAUCCGCUCGUGAAGUGACAUCGACAGCUCUUGAUCUGCGCUGUCAGGAGAGCUUCACGCUAGGCUGGGUAAGUGAGACGAGUUGCCCUGGUGCAGGGGGUGUGGGUCGGUAACACUGGCCCUUCUCAACCAUGUCCUUAAUUAUCACCUGGGUGAGGGGCCCUUCAGGACUGGAGCUGCUAUAGCAAUGGAAGGACUGCUGCAGCAUACGUUAAGACUGGUGGCGCCCCCUAUGGUCUUUAUAAUCAGCCUGUAUUUACAAAAAACACAAGCAUGUAGAGUGACAGGACAGCAGUGUGUAGAUCCACUGUUGUCCGUUUUAGUUUUAAAUUAAUUUUAUACUACCUAUUUGUGCAACUGUGAUUUAUAAUUGGGUGAUGGGUAUAUUUUCAUUUGAUAAUAAUAGUUUACAUUAGUUACUGGUGCAACACUAAUUUUGUAACACGGUGAUGGGUAAAUUUUGUGUAUUUUAAUUUGAUUUAUUUAAAUAGAUAGAGAUAUGGGGCUCUGUACUAAUAUUGCCUAUUUGUUCAUAAAUACUGUGAAUUCUUAGCCUCCGUCCUUCGUAGAAUUUCUGCAUGCAAUGUUCUAAUGUAAAAUCACAGCAAGUUUAUGAACAGCCUAAAAUAUCGCUUAUUAUACAGGAGAGAUCGGCGUUUGCAUCUCAUUAUAAAUGGAUUUGCAGCGAUUUAGAACGUGCUUCCGGAAGUAAAGUAAACAUUACAAUGUAAUAAUGUGUAGCGCAAACAGACCCUGGCAAAGCAAAAAAACAAACAUGUAGCUCUAAGAGAGAGGGUCCACAAAAACAGAAAGCAGGAAUAAAAUGAACCUCUUUCUAGAUAUGGAAGUUUACCAUGGUACAUUUGCAUGAUAAUUCUGCAGUCGCUACCAUGUUUUUACUCGUCUGUACCCCAAGCUUCCAUAUGUGUUCAGUGCUUAAAUUUAAAGGUUUAUGUAUAUAAUUUUAGUUGUGCAAAGGGAAAGUCCAGUACAUACAGUAGGCUACCCAAGUAAAUACUUUUUGGCGUAGUUCAGCUGUCUGCACUAUAUGAGAGGUCUCCAGCCCUGGUCCUGGAUGGGUUGAAUAUGAUGAUCUUGAAGUACAGUACUGUGGAUUUUGCUCUGUGCUGCUCAGUGUUGCCAACUCUUAAGAUCUGAAAGUCGACAUUUUAAAGCAAAAGUUGAAAACGAUCACAGUACACAGACCCCCCCCCCCCCGAAUACAUUGCAUAUAUUGAUAAGAAAUAGCUUUGCAGGACGUUGUAUUACAUUUUAAGCACACCUAUUGAAAAAUAAAAGUACAACAAGAUAUUUGAGUUUAAAACAAUAAAAAAAGCCCUGAAACAGAACGCUGGUUUAACGGUUGAUAUGUAAAAUGUAAUAAUAUCAUAUGGCUGUGAAUACAGCUUCCUCAUUCAUCCCUGUAUAAAAAGCGCAUUGGCGCGAUUUGUAUUGGUUUUCACAAAUUAUUUAAGGUUUACAGUUAAAGGAAAGGUUAACCCUUCAGCUUCAUAUUUUAAGUUGUUUUGAAACUUCAAAUCAACUUCACCACUGUCAUGUAGCUGGUGCGUUUACAUUGUGGUUGUUAAGCCCGUUACUAAGCAAACAAAUUCACCAAAUUGGCAGCACUGGUGCUGCUCAGAGUUUAUUUGCAAUACUGUAACUGUAAUAACUCCAACUCAUAUUGAAAUAUGCACCUACAAUUAAUCCAGAGGCAACAUCUGCCGGAUUGUAAUAAAUAGCACAGCAUUCACAGCGAGUUUGAUUGCAGCUGCAAUAACACCAUUCAUUGCUGUCAGCUUUGCAGGCAACACGGGGAUCAGGAAGGGUUAAAUUACGUUUAAAAUAAAGCACAUUCAAAUAUAAAAUAAACCAAAACAAAAAAACAUGUAUUUAUUGACAAUGUUAUUUAAUAUAGACUUAAAUACUUUUGGUUUCUUUUUUUUAAGUUACUAAAUGUCCUCAGAGGCAGACUGACUUACGAACAGCUUGUUGAAUCUACGCCAGUGCGAGGCAGGCGUAAAAUAACAAGCACAAAACACUGCUGUAAAUCAGCAAAACAUGACGACACAUCAAGCGCAGCACGAAACUUCAACAUUAGAAUGAGAUUCGUACAUUUGUAUGCUUAAGUACCUUGAAACGAACAGUCGUAACAAAAUUACUGGAGCAGGGAUGAAACCAAGUUACGGGAGUGAAAACGACUUUAAUACAUCGCGGGGAGGUCAACGAAUUCACAAAAACCUACGAAAAGACAAGAUAUGAAAGAGAAAUCAAUGAUAUAUAGAGCCCAUUAUCUAUAUAUCUACAUAUUAUUAUUUGUUUAUUUAGCAGACACCUUUACCCAAGGUGACUUAGAAACUAGGGUGUGUGAAAUAUGCAUCAGCUGCAGAGGCACUUACAAUUACGUCUCACCCAAAAGACGGAGCACAAGAAGGUUAAGUGACUUGCUCAGGGUCACAGAAUGAGCCAGUGGCUGAGGUGGGAUUUGAACCUGGGACCUCCUGGUUACAUAACUCGGUUACUGCUAAAACACUGAUUGAUAACAAGGUGAUGGGUAUAUUUCACACUAAUUCUAAUUUAUAUUAUAAUAGUUACUAGGGAUUAUAUGAAGGCUUUGGGGUUUGUUUUAUUUAUGAUGUAAAAAAAGCAAAACAAUACAAUAUAUACAGAGUGAUUACAAAGGAAGUGGGCCAUUUUACAAAGGCAUGACAAUAAAUGUACACCUUGCAAGUUCCUGUACAAUCCCAUAGGGGGCACCACAAAACAUUACAGGGGUGGGUGGGAUAAAAAAAACAAUAAUGCCAUUAUUUGUAGUCUUGAUGCUUCAGAAUCAGGGUUAAUUGCUUAUCAGACAAACAAUGAAAAUGAUCUUGAUCAUGCAAAAUUAAAAUGAGAAUACAAAGAAUUUAAAAACGUGUUAAGUUCACAACCACACAGUCAGGUCCACCUGAUUCACUGCAGUCUGCUGGAUACAAUGAAACAUGGGGUUCAGUCAUUAACGCUUGGGUUCAGGGCUUCUCUGCUGUGUAUCAAUAUCAAUACUUUAACUGUAUGAGAAACAAGGCAUUGGUUCACUGUUCAUACUCUGUAUUUAUUAAUAUUUUUUGCUGAAUUGUUUCAAUAAAGU